Molecule: ribosomal RNA, 306 nt
Filed under: Heterotermes tenuis
Lineage: Eukaryota; Metazoa; Arthropoda; Insecta; Blattodea; Rhinotermitidae
Description: partial large subunit ribosomal RNA
Source: RNAcentral
UUUAGUUGAAGGGCCGCGGUAUUUUGACCGUGCAAAGGUAGCAUAAUCAUUAGUUCUUUAAUUGUGAUCUGGAAUGAAUGGCUUGACGAGAUGCGAGCUGUCUUAAAUUUGAAUGUUUUAUUGAAUUUGGUUUUUGAGUUAAAAUUCUUAAAUGUUUUUAUGGGACGAGAAGACCCUAUAGAGUUUGACAUGUUGGCUUUCUUGUUUAUUUGUCGUUUGUUUUAUUUUUGAUAAGUGGGCUUUAUGUUUUGUUGGGGUGAUGAGAGGAAUAUGAUUUAACUCCUCUUGGUUUAGUGGUUAUAUUGA